Piliocolobus tephrosceles (Ugandan red Colobus) is the source of this 651-nucleotide long non-coding RNA. RefSeq lists it as uncharacterized. NCBI's taxonomy places the organism in Eukaryota, Metazoa, Chordata, Mammalia, Primates, Cercopithecidae. The transcript is spliced from 4 exons. The record is from RefSeq and is a predicted model, not a curated record.
AUUCCUUUAUUUUCUUAAUAAACUCACUUUCACUUUAUGGAUUCACCUCAAACUCUUUCUUGUGUGAGAUUCAAGAACCUUCUCUUAGGGUCUGGAUUGGGACCCCUUUCUGGUAACAUCUUCCUGGUGACCAUGAAGGGACAAUACUGAAGAGACCCCUGACCCUAAGGAAAUAGACUGCAGCACCAAUGGGACAACUUUGGGGCGAUCAUCUUGCCCAGAGACCUCAUGUUGAAACUCUUGCUCAGAGGUUGGAUGAAAGCUGACAGGGUCCAUCCAGAAGCAAGUUUGAGCCUUGCCAGUUCCAUUUUGGGUGCUGAGUGGAGUGGUGACUGUAGUGAACCUGUGAUCUCUGGCUGCUGCUCAGAAGAAACAGGAGGGAUGAGUAAUGUAAAUAAUCUGGAUUAUUAUUCUAAUUCUGAGCCUGUACUGGAAUCAGCUAGCAACCCCAUAUCAGCUUGGUUUCAACAGUUUCCCAGUUUAUGCUGCUGAGAAGUUCAGAGUCAAACCUGAAUCUCACCUCUGCAAAGAGCACAGGACCCCGGGGCAAAUGUUGUAUAUACCCAAGUCAUCCCUGGCGCCAUCUUCAUUUACUGCACCAGGCUUUCUUCAUUGUGAUGAUGUUCUCUCUUUAAAAAAAAAAAAAAAAUA